GUGAGUAGUUCAGAGUUUGAUCCUGGCUCAGGACGAACGCUGGCGGCGUGCCUAACACAUGCAAGUCGAACGGAGUUGUUCCUUCGGGACGACUUAGUGGCGAACGGGUGAGUAACGCGUGAGAAACCUGCCUUUCAGUGGGGGACAACAGUUGGAAACGACUGCUAAUACCGCAUAAUGUUAUUUGGGGGCAUCCCUGAAUAACCAAAGAUUUAUUGCUGAAAGAUGGUCUCGCGUCUGAUUAGCUAGUUGGUGAGGUAACGGCUCACCAAGGCGACGAUCAGUAGCCGGUCUGAGAGGAUGAACGGCCACAUUGGGACUGAGAUACGGCCCAG
This 335-nucleotide ribosomal RNA is filed under the name uncultured bacterium. RNAcentral's name for it is "bacterial SSU rRNA". It matches the Rfam family "Bacterial small subunit ribosomal RNA", at positions 1 to 334 of the family's 1533-position model. The record is from RNAcentral.